UGCGUAGGCGGGUUAUUAAGUCAGUGGUGAAAUCUCUCGGCUCAACCGAGAAACUGCCAUUGAAACUGAUAAUCUUGAGUAUAGUUGUAGUAGGCGGAAUAUAGCAUGUAGCGGUGAAAUGCUUAGAUAUGCUAUAGAACACCGAUCGCGAAGGCAGCUUACUAAACUAUUACUGACGCUCAUGCACGAAAGCGUGGGGAGCAAACAGGAUUAGAUACCCUGGUAGUCC
RNAcentral lists this ribosomal RNA (229 nucleotides) under uncultured bacterium. Its description in RNAcentral is "partial 16S ribosomal RNA". It matches the Rfam family "Bacterial small subunit ribosomal RNA", at positions 568 to 796 of the family's 1533-position model. The record is from RNAcentral.